UACGAAGGGUGCAAGCGUUACUCGGAAUUACUGGGCGUAAAGCGUGCGUAGGUGGUUUGUUAAGUCUGAUGUGAAAGCCCUGGGCUCAACCUGGGAAUUGCAUUGGAUACUGGCAGGCUAGAGUGCGGUAGAGGAUGGCGGAAUUCCCGGUGUAGCAGUGAAAUGCGUAGAGAUCGGGAGGAACAUCUGUGGCGAAGGCGGCCAUCUGGACCAGCACUGACACUGAGGCACGAAAGCACGGGGAGCAAACAGG
This 253-nucleotide ribosomal RNA is filed under the name uncultured bacterium. RNAcentral describes it as "partial 16S ribosomal RNA". It matches the Rfam family "Bacterial small subunit ribosomal RNA", at positions 524 to 776 of the family's 1533-position model. The record is from RNAcentral.